RNAcentral lists this ribosomal RNA (577 nucleotides) under uncultured Bacteroidota bacterium. Its description in RNAcentral is "bacterial SSU rRNA". It matches the Rfam family "Bacterial small subunit ribosomal RNA", at positions 782 to 1361 of the family's 1533-position model. The record is from RNAcentral. Lineage: Bacteria; Pseudomonadati; Bacteroidota.
AUACCCUGGUAGUCCACGCAGUAAACGAUGAAUACUAGCUGUAUGCGAUAUACUGUAUGUGGCAAAGCGAAAGCGUUAAGUAUUCCACCUGGGGAGUACGUUCGCAAGAAUGAAACUCAAAGGAAUUGACGGGGGCCCGCACAAGCGGAGGAACAUGUGGUUUAAUUCGAUGAUACGCGAGGAUCCUUACCCGGGCUUGAAAUGCAUCUGACCGACUUGGAAGCAGGUCUUCUAGCAAUAGCAGAUGUGUAGGUGCUGCAUGGUUGUCGUCAGCUCGUGCCGUGAGGUGUCGGCUUAAGUGCCAUAACGAGCGCAACCCCUAUCAUUAGUUACUAACAGGUUAAGCUGAGGACUCUAGUGAGACUGCCACCGUAAGGUGUGAGGAAGGUGGGGAUGACGUCAAAUCAGCACGCCCCUUACGUCCGGGGCGACACACGUGUUACAAUGGGGGGUACAGAGGGUUGCUACUUGGUGACAAGAUGCUAAUCUCUUAAAGCCUCUCUCAGUUCGGAUCGAAGUCUGCAACUCGACUUCGUGAAGCUGGAUUCGCUAGUAAUCGCGCAUCAGCCANGGCGCG